RNAcentral lists this ribozyme (82 nucleotides) under unclassified sequences. RNAcentral describes it as "Twister_sister_ribozyme". It matches the Rfam family "Twister_sister_ribozyme". The record is from Rfam by way of RNAcentral.
ACAACCCGCAAGGCCGACGCACAACGCGCCGCUGGUGCAAGCCCAGCCGCCCCCACACGGGGCGGGCGCUCAUGGGUACAAG